This 1206-nucleotide ribosomal RNA is filed under the name metagenome. RNAcentral's name for it is "bacterial SSU rRNA". It matches the Rfam family "Bacterial small subunit ribosomal RNA", at positions 206 to 1400 of the family's 1533-position model. The record is from RNAcentral.
GGACCUGCCGCCUGGAGAGGAGUCCGCGUCCCAUCAGCUUGUUGGUGAGGUCACGGCUCACCAAGGCUUACGGGUAGCUGGUCUGAGAGGAUGGUCAGCCACACUGGGACUGAGACACUGCCCAGACUCCUACGGGAGGCUGCAGUCGAGGAUCAUUCGCAAUGCGCGAAAGCGUGACGAUGCGACGCUGCGUGGAGGAUGACGGCCUUCGGGUUGUAAACUCCUGUCAUGAGGGAAAAGCUGUCCGGCCGUGAAUACCGGUUGGAUUCGAUGGUACCUCAAGAGGAAGCCACGGCUAACUCUGUGCCAGCAGCCGCGGUAAUACAGAGGUGGCGAGCGUUGUUCGGAUUUACUGGGCGUAAAGCGUGCGUAGGUGGUUUCGUGUGUCGGACGUGAAAUCCCGCUGCUCAACGGCGGAACUGCGUUCGAAACUGCGGGACUGGAGUGCAGGAGGGGAGAGCGGAAUUCUUGGUGUAGCGGUGAAAUGCGUUGAUAUCAAGAAGAACACCGGUGGCGAAGGCGGCUCUCUGGAAUGUUACUGACGCUGAGGCACGAAAGCUGGGGGAGCAAACAGGAUUAGAUACCCUGGUAGUCCCAGCCGUAAACGGUGCGCACUUGGUGUUGGAGGUAUUGACCCCUUCAGUGCCGGAGCUAACGCGUUAAGUGCGCCGCCUGGGGAGUACGGCCGCAAGGCUAAAACUCAAAGAAAUUGACGGGGGCCCGCACAAGCGGAGGAGCAUGUGGCUUAAUUCGAUGCAACGCGAAGAACCUUACCAGGGCUUGACAUGCAGCUGCACGCCCCGUGAAAGCGGGGAAGCCUUCGAGGGUGCUGCACAGGUGCUGCAUGGCUGUCGUCAGUUCGUGCCGUGAGGUGUUGGGUUAAGUCCCGCAACGAACGCAACCCCUGUGUCUAGUUGCCACCGCAGGUGAUGAGCCUGCGAGCACUCUAGACAGACUGCCCGUACAAGCGGGAGGAAGGUGGGGAUGACGUCAAGUCAGUAUGGCCCUUACGUCCUGGGCUGCACACGUGCUACAAUGGCCGGUACAGAGGGAUGCAAUGCCGCGAGGUGGAGCAAAUCCCCAAAGCUGGCCCCAGUUCGGAUUGGAGUCUGCAACUCGACUCCAUGAAGUUGGAUUCGCUAGUAACGGCGUAUCAGCUACGGCGCCGUGAAUACGUUCCCGGGCCUUGUACACACCGCCCGUCAC